Molecule: ribosomal RNA, 2767 nt
Filed under: Clostridioides difficile P31
Lineage: Bacteria; Bacillati; Bacillota; Clostridia; Peptostreptococcales; Peptostreptococcaceae
Description: bacterial LSU rRNA
Rfam family: Bacterial large subunit ribosomal RNA
Source: RNAcentral
CUUAGAGUAAUGUCUAAGUAUCAUUAAGUGAAUACAUAGCUUAAUGAGGGGAACUCAGGGAACUGAAACAUCUAAGUACCUGAAGGAAGAGAAAGAAAUUCGAUUCCGUAAGUAGCGGCGAGCGAACGCGGAUUAGCCCAAACCAAUAAAGUUUUCUUUAUUGGGGUUGCGGACAUAUCAUAACGAAGAGGUAUCGUAAUUGAAGAGGUUUGGAAAGACCCACCACAGAAGGUAAUAGUCCUGUAUGUUAAACGAGAAGACUUCAGAUAUGAUCCAGAGUACCACGGGACACGUGAAACCCUGUGGGAAGCAGGAGGGACCACCCUCCAAGGCUAAAUACUACCUAGUGACCGAUAGCGUAUAGUACCGUGAGGGAAAGGUGAAAAGAACCCCGGGAGGGGAGUGAAAUAGAACCUGAAACCCUGCACUUACAAGCUGUGGAAGCACAUUUCUUGUGUGACCGCGUACUUUUUGUAGAACGGGCCAACGAGUUACGUUAAGUAGCAAGGUUAAGCACUUAAGGUGCGGAGCCGUAGCGAAAGCGAGUUUUAACUGAGCGUUCAGUUACUUGACGUAGACCCGAAACCGGGCGACCUACCCAUGAGCAGGAUGAAGCGAAAGUAAAAUUUCGUGGAGGUCCGAACCCACGAGCGUUGAAAAGCUCGGGGAUGACUUGUGGGUAGCGGUGAAAUUCCAAUCGAGCCCGGAGAUAGCUGGUUCUCCCCGAAAUAGCUUUAGGGCUAGCCUCAAGGUGAGAGAUACGGAGGUAGAGCACUGAAUGUCCUAGGGGGUAUUGCACCUACCGAAGACUAUCAAACUCCGAAUGCCGUCAUCUUAUACUUGGGAGUCAGACUGUGGGUGAUAAGAUUCAUAGUCGAAAGGGCAACAGCCCAGAUCGUCAGCUAAGGUCCCUAAAUGUAAGUUAAGUGGUAAAGGAUGUGGGAUUGCACAGACAACCAGGAUGUUGGCUUAGAAGCAGCCACUCAUUCAAAGAGUGCGUAAUAGCUCACUGGUCGAGUGAUCCUGCGCCGAAGAUUUCCGGGGCUAAAACUUACUACCGAAGCUACGGCAUCAGUAAUGAUGGGUAGGGGAGCUUCCCAUACGGGUUGAAGCAUGACCGUAAGGACAUGUGGACAGUAUGGGAGUGAGAAUGUUGGCAUGAGUAGCGAGAUGUGGGUGAGAAUCCCACAGGCCGUAAACCCAAGGUUUCCAGGGGAAGGUUCGUCCGCCCUGGGUUAGUCGGGACCUAAGCUGAGGCCGAAAGGCGUAGGUGAUGGACAACAGGUUGAUAUUCCUGUACUACCGAUAACCGUUUGAGAGAAGGGAUGACACAGUAGGAUAAGCUAAGCACACUGUUGGUUAUGUGUGCCCAAGCAUUGAGGCAGUCAAAGUAGGCAAAUCCGCUUUGAUAAUGCUGGGAUGUGAUGGGGAGCGAAAUUUAGUAGCGAAGUAGCUGAUUUCACACUGUCAAGAAAAGUCUCUAUCGAGGUUAAAGGUACCCGUACCGCAAACCGACACAGGUGGGUGAGGAGAGUAUCCUAAGGCCAGCGAGAGAACUGUUGUUAAGGAACUCGGCAAAAUGACCCCGUAACUUAGGGAUAAGGGGUGCCACCAUCAGGUGGCCGCAGAGAAUAGGCCCAAGCGACUGUUUACCAAAAACAUAGGUUUCUGCUAAGUCGCAAGACGAUGUAUAGGAGCUGACGCCUGCCCGGUGCUGGAAGGUUAAGGGGAUCUGUUAGAGCAAUCGAAGCAGUGAACUUAAGCCCCAGUAAACGGCGGCCGUAACUAUAACGGUCCUAAGGUAGCGAAAUUCCUUGUCGGGUAAGUUCCGACCCGCACGAAAGGCGUAACGAUUUGGGCACUGUCUCAACAACAGACUCGGUGAAAUUGUAAUUCCGGUGAAGAUGCCGGAUACCUGCGACAGGACGGAAAGACCCCAUGGAGCUUUACUGUAGCUUGACAUUGGGUCUUGGUACUACAUGUACAGGAUAGGUGGGAGGCUUUGAAACCAGGACGCCAGUUUUGGCGGAGCCAUCCUUGGGAUACCACCCUUGUAGUACUGGGACUCUAACCAUAGGCCAUGAAUCUGGUCUUGGGACACUGUCAGGUGGGCAGUUUGACUGGGGCGGUCGCCUCCCAAAAGGUAACGGAGGCGCUCAAAGGUUCUCUCAGUACGGUCGGAAAUCGUACGUAGAGUGUAAAGGCAAAAGAGAGCUUGAUUGCAAGACAUACAGGUCGAGCAAGGAUGAAAAUCGGACUUAGUGAUCCGGUGGUUCUGCGUGGAAGGGCCAUCGCUCAACGGAUAAAAGCUACCCUGGGGAUAACAGGCUUAUCUCCCCCAAGAGUCCACAUCGACGGGGAGGUUUGGCACCUCGAUGUCGGCUCAUCACAUCCUGGGGCUGUAGUAGGUCCCAAGGGUUGGGCUGUUCGCCCAUUAAAGUGGUACGCGAGCUGGGUUCAGAACGUCGUGAGACAGUUCGGUCCCUAUCCGUCGCAGGCGUAGGAAAUUUGAGAAGACCUGUCCUUAGUACGAGAGGACCGGGAUGGACGUACCUCUGGUGUACCAGUUGUCUGCCAAGGGCAUGGCUGGGUAGCUAUGUACGGAAUGGAUAAGCGCUGAAAGCAUCUAAGCGCGAAGCCAACUUCAAGAUAAGAUUUCCCACCGCAAGGGUAAGACUCCAGAAAGACUAUCUGGUUGAUAGGUCGAAGGUGUAAGUGCAGCAAUGUAUUUAGCUUAUCGAUACUAAUAGGUCGAGGACUUGACCAA